Molecule: ribosomal RNA, 305 nt
Filed under: uncultured bacterium
Lineage: Bacteria
Description: bacterial SSU rRNA
Rfam family: Bacterial small subunit ribosomal RNA
Source: RNAcentral
GUGCUCCUACGGGGGGCAGCAGUGGGGAAUAUUGGGCAAUGGGCGCAAGCCUGACCCAGCAACGCCGCGUGAAGGAAGAAGGCUUUCGGGUUGUAAACUUCUUUUCUAAGGGACGAAGAAAGUGACGGUACCUUAGGAAUAAGCUCCGGCUAACUACGUGCCAGCAGCCGCGGUAAUACGUAGGGAGCGAGCGUUAUCCGGAUUUACUGGGUGUAAAGGGCGUGUAGGCGGGAUGGCAAGUCAGGCGUGAAAACUAUGGGCUCAACCCAUAGCCUGCGUUUGAAACUGUCGUUCUUGAGUGAUGG